This 445-nucleotide ribosomal RNA is filed under the name uncultured Anaerolineaceae bacterium. Its description in RNAcentral is "bacterial SSU rRNA". It matches the Rfam family "Bacterial small subunit ribosomal RNA", at positions 920 to 1382 of the family's 1533-position model. Lineage: Bacteria; Bacillati; Chloroflexota; Anaerolineae; Anaerolineales; Anaerolineaceae. The record is from RNAcentral.
CCCGCACAAGCAGCGGAGCGUGUGGUUAAUUCGAUGCUACACGAAGAACCUUACCAGGUUUGACAUACAAGUAGUAGGGAAAGGAAACUGGACCGACCUUCGGGGAGCUUGUACAGGUGCUGCAUGGCUGUCGUCAGCUCGUGUCGUGAGAUGUUCGGUUAAGUCCGCUAACGAGCGCAACCCUCGUCGUAUGUUAUAUGUGUCAUACGAGACUGCCGGUAAAAGCCGGAGGAAGGUGAGGAUGAUGUCAAGUCAGCAUGACCUUUAUAUCCAGGGCUACACACACGCUACAAUGGUCUGUACAAUGGGUAGCCAAGCCGCGAGGCGGAGCCAAUCCUGAAAGCAGGCCUCAGUUCAGAUUGCAGUCUGCAACUCGACUGCAUGAAGCCGGAGUUGCUAGUAACCGCAGGUCAGCAAUACUGCGGUGAAUACGUUCCCGGGUCUU